UGCGCCGCCAUUGACCACAGCACAUUCGGACAGGGGGUCAGCGCGGAUUCAUACCCAGCAAGAGAGGGAGAAAAGAUCGUGCGUUUCUAUUCACGGGGGCCUGGGGAAGUUGGAAGCGAACCUCCCACCGCUGGCUCGGAGAGGUGGUGGUGAUGGGGGGUGCUAACCGUAGAAGCUUCCGCUCUUGAUGGCGUCGGCGUUGGCGUCGCCGAGGGCGGCCUCGCUGAGGUACUUGUCCGCGAGCUGCACUCUCUUCACGUUCUCCUGCUCCUUCACCAGCAUGUUGCCGUACUCCAGCAGCUUCUCCAGGGUCAUGGUCGGCUUCUCGAAGGUCGGCGGCCCGUCCCGGGAGUUGACCAGCUUCUUCCCCACGUUCUCAAUCCCAAUGUCAACGAUCCACUUCCUCACCUCGUCGUCGUACACCCUGGCCCUCAGCGCCCCGAAGAAGUCUGCGCCACAGGAGCACCCACCGUCAGAGUCGCCGGCGCCGGAGGAGAAGAAGACGAAGAGCAAGGAGGAGGGGGAGGAGGAGGAGGAGGAACCCACCAAUGGACUGGCCGGGGAAGGUGUCGACGAGCUUGACGACGGCCUCCCUGGGGACGUUGUCGGUCUUGAAGAUGCCGGAGCAGACACCGAUGCGGUCGUCGCGGGUGGGCGCCCAGUAGAACUUCUCCAUGCGGCCGUCACGGAUGAGAGGGGCGUAGAGGGUGGAGAAGUCGUUGCCGGUGACGACGAUGGGGACGCGGGCGUUCUCCUGCUUGUUGUACAUGCCGGGGAGCUGGACGUUGGUGGGGUUGUCGGCGAUGUUCAUGAGGGUGGCGUUGACCAUCUGGUUGUUGACGGUGUACUGGGUGGUGCCGCCCAUACGGCCGGCCCCGGCGUCGAGAUCGUUGAUGAAGAGCGCGCACAUCUUCCCCUUCUUGAUGAUGUCGGCGGCUUCCCUGUACCUCUGCCGGAUCAGCUUCGCCGGCUCGCCGGCGUUCCCGCUCUCGAGCUCUCCCGCGCUCAUCAUGAUCGGGCUGCAAUCCCCCGGCCACAGAGGAGAAACACGUCAUCGGCAAAUACAACUACUUCUUCUUCUGAUUCUUUCUCUUGCCGGAGAAAACAACAUGGAGAAGGAGGGAGGCCGAAGCAGAGGAGACUGCACUCACUUGAUGCCCAGCUUAGCGAAGACGAGCUCGCACUGGAAGGACUUGCCUUGCCCCUUGCCUCCCCAGAUGCCGAGAAUGAGGGGAACCUGCGGGCACCCGCUCCGGCGUUAAGAUUCUCCGGCAGAGAGAGAGCGAGCGAGAGAGGGGGGGAGAGAGCGAGCGAGAGAGGGGGGAGAGAGCGAGCGAGAGAGGGAGAGAGAGAAGAGGACCUUGAUGCUGGGGAGGUUGAGGUAGUUCUUGACGAUGUGGACGACGAGCUUGUCCAUGAAGGCCCGGGCGAUGUAGAAGUCACCCAUGGUGUUGUCCAUGUUGAGCCUGAAACCGUCGUCUUUCUUCAGGAUCGAAAUGAAAGCUGAAGGAAGAGGAGGAGGAGGAGGAGGAGUUGGGUUGCGCUUACUCCUUGAGGCCCUGGCUGAGGUACUCGUAGGAGCUGAGGACGGCGUCGUGGGUGCCCUGGCCGGUGGGGGCCUGGAAGAGGGAGUCAACUAACCCCUUCCCCCUGGUGAUAUCCUGCUGGUCGUCCGACGUGUCGUAGUAGAGACCGCCCCACCUGUCCCCAGAGGUCUGCUUGUCCUCGUCGAG
Molecule: long non-coding RNA, 1733 nt
Filed under: Spirodela polyrhiza (greater duckweed)
Lineage: Eukaryota; Viridiplantae; Streptophyta; Magnoliopsida; Alismatales; Araceae
Description: long non-coding RNA (SPOL_LNC001502)
Source: RNAcentral